AUUGAACGCUGGCGGCAUGCUUUACACAUGCAAGUCGAACGGUAACAGGCCGCAAGGUGCUGACGAGUGGCGCACGGGUGAGUAAUGCAUCGGAACGUGCCCAGUCGUGGGGGAUAACUACUCGAAAGAGUAGCUAAUACCGCAUACGAUCUAUGGAUGAAAGCGGGGGACCGUAAGGCCUCGCGCGAUUGGAGCGGCCGAUGUCAGAUUAGGUAGUUGGUGGGGUAAAGGCUCACCAAGCCAACGAUCUGUAGCUGGUCUGAGAGGACGACCAGCCACACUGGGACUGAGACACGGCCCAGACUCCUACGGGAGGCAGCAGUGGGGAAUUUUGGACAAUGGGCGCAAGCCUGAUCCAGCAAUGCCGCGUGCAGGAAGAAGGCCUUCGGGUUGUAAACUGCUUUUGUACGGAACGAAACGGCUCUGGUUAAUACCCGGGGCUAAUGACGGUACCGUAAGAAUAAGCACCGGCUAACCACGUG
RNAcentral lists this ribosomal RNA (482 nucleotides) under uncultured bacterium. RNAcentral's name for it is "partial 16S ribosomal RNA". It matches the Rfam family "Bacterial small subunit ribosomal RNA", at positions 30 to 507 of the family's 1533-position model. The record is from RNAcentral.